UACGUAGGGUGCAAGCGUUGUCCGGAAUUAUUGGGCGUAAAGAGCUCGUAGGCGGUCUGUCGCGUCGGCUGUGAAAACCCGGAGCUCAACUCCGGGCCUGCAGUCGAUACGGGCAGACUGGAGUUCGGCAGGGGAGACUGGAAUUCCUGGUGUAGCGGUGAAAUGCGCAGAUAUCAGGAGGAACACCGGUGGCGAAGGCGGGUCUCUGGGCCGAUACUGACGCUCAUGCACGAAAGCGUGGGGAGCAAACAGG
RNAcentral lists this ribosomal RNA (253 nucleotides) under uncultured bacterium. RNAcentral describes it as "partial 16S ribosomal RNA". It matches the Rfam family "Bacterial small subunit ribosomal RNA", at positions 524 to 776 of the family's 1533-position model. The record is from RNAcentral.